Molecule: ribosomal RNA, 509 nt
Filed under: uncultured bacterium
Lineage: Bacteria
Description: bacterial SSU rRNA
Rfam family: Bacterial small subunit ribosomal RNA
Source: RNAcentral
AGAGUUUGAUCAUGGCUCAGGACGAACGCUGGCGGCGUGCUUAACACAUGCAAGUCGAACGGUGAUCUUGGGAGCUUGCUCCUGGGUGAUCAGUGGCGAACGGGUGAGUAACACGUGAGUAACCUGCCCCGGACUCUGGGAUAACUUCGGGAAACCGGAGCUAAUACCGGAUAUGACCCUCGCCUGCAUGGGCUGGGGGUGGAAAGUUUUUCGGUCUGGGAUGGGCUCGCGGCCUAUCAGCUUGUUGGUGAGGUAGUGGCUCACCAAGGCGACGACGGGUAGCCGGCCUGAGAGGGCGACCGGCCACACUGGGACUGAGACACGGCCCAGACUCCUACGGGAGGCAGCAGUGGGGAAUAUUGCACAAUGGGCGCAAGCCUGAUGCAGCGACGCCGCGUGAGGGAUGACGGCCUUCGGGUUGUAAACCUCUUUCAGCAGGGAAGAAGCGUGAGUGACGGUACCUGCAGAAGAAGCACCGGCUAACUACGUGCCAGCCGCCGCGGUAAUAC